RNAcentral lists this ribosomal RNA (851 nucleotides) under Gammarus emeiensis. RNAcentral's name for it is "partial 16S ribosomal RNA". The stretch from base 594 to 851 matches the Rfam family "Bacterial large subunit ribosomal RNA", at positions 2078 to 2586 of the family's 2925-position model. The record is from RNAcentral. Lineage: Eukaryota; Metazoa; Arthropoda; Malacostraca; Amphipoda; Gammaridae.
GGUAAAAGAAAAAGUGGGGGUUGUACCUUUUGUAUCAGGGGGGCUUAAAAAUGUAGUUAGGGUCUAAUCGAUUUAAGCGGAGCUUCUUUCUUAGUCUUUAGUAGAAGUUAAAGAAUGAAGUAUUUAAGAGGUGAAAAAUGUUCGACGUUUGUGGUAUCUAAUUACUUUGUUGAUAGAAGGGUUAAGCUUUUGUAUGUUUAUGAAAAAGUGUAGUUAAGAAAACUAGGCUUUAGAUUAGCCAGGCUAAUAGGUUGUUUAAAAUAAUUUUAAAGUUGUUAUUUGUAGCGUAAAUUUAUAAGAGUCGUGCUUGUAAAUUUUAAUAAAUAAAGAUAAUGAGUCUAUUGAACAGUAGUUGGAGCCUAAAAAUGACUCAAUAAAGGUUAGAAAGUUUAACAAAAACAUUUUUAUACGUGUAAUUUAUGGUACGACCUGCCCGGUGCUUGGUUAACGGCUGCGGUAUUUUGACUGUGCUAAGGUAGCAUAAUCACUUGUUAUUUAAUUGGUAGCUGGAAUGAACGGUUAAACUAACGUAUUUAGUUUGUUGGGCUAAAUGGUAAAUUAAAGUCAAGGUAAGAAUUCUUUGAUUUUUUAGGGGACGAUAAGACCCUAGAAGCUUUAUAAGGAAUUAAUCAUUGGUGCUGGUUGAGGUUUUUUUUUACUGGGGCGGUAUAGGUACUUAAACUAGCUUAGUUUUGAUAGAUCCUUUGAAUAAAGAAAGAACGGGUAAGUUACUCUAGGGAUAACAGUGCAAUAUUUUUGAAGAGAUCUUAUCGAUAAAAGUGUUUGCAACCUCGAUGUUGAAUUAAGAUUUCUGCGUGGAGCAGAAGAUACGUGAGAGGGUUUGUUCAACC